Molecule: long non-coding RNA, 2758 nt
Organism: Photinus pyralis (common eastern firefly)
Lineage: Eukaryota; Metazoa; Arthropoda; Insecta; Coleoptera; Lampyridae
Exons: 3
Source: RefSeq, a predicted model, not a curated record
AAGUUACUAGUAUAAUCCAGUAUAAAUAGCAGAGAGACCUAUAAGGCGACCGCAACGUCCGCCACCAAACAAAAAAUUUUUUUAAAGAAACGGCGCACAGAAGCUGACGAUAGGCGCACAAAUUCUUACAAAACAACCACAAAAAAAUAUUACAUAAUAUGUUCUAAGGCACUAACAGAAGAUUUUUACUGUCUCGGAAACGAAAGGAGCAUAAAACUUAGAGAUUGGCGCAGAAAUCAGCACAAAAUAGGCACAAAAUUAUGACGUAGGUUUCAAAUCGCUCCGAUUGUGAGGGGUGCUGCGAUAAGUUGACACCCACUUCACACAUUUUGAAUUUCUCGGAAACGAAAGGCGCACAAAAUUUUAGUAUGAGCGCUCAAAUCAGCACAAAACUAUAGUCUUAGUUUUAUGUCGGGACACGGAUUAAUUUCUUCGAAAUGAUAAACGCACAAAAUAUCCAUAAAUCAGCACAAAGCAACCACAGUAUUUUGGAAUGCCGAUUAAGGGGUACUAACUUAAACCACCUGAAAAAAUAAACAGUUCAAAGUCACAAAUUUAUUAAAUUAUGUACUACAAACACUGCGCAAAAUUAUUUGAUCUGUGUGAUAAUAAUCUUAAUCUCCCCGAAAGGUCGUCAAGUUGUUUAUUUAAGACCUUUUUGUACUUAGAGAGACCUGGUAUCAUUCCGAAUCUCUUAGUUUUUCUCACUGCUAUAAAUCAUGGCUGGCUUCACUAUAGAUUUAAAAACCCUUUCUUUAACCUCUUUCCUAAUCCUUCUGUCAUAUACAGUCUCCCGUUAUCUUUUUCCACUUCAUCCACUCUGCACCGCUUCAUACGAAUAGUAACAGGGUGUAGGUUUAUCGGUGACAGCCAGACGGGAUUGAGAACGCGUGGGUUGUGCGAUAGUUGGUGGAAAAUUCGUGAAGCUUACGCGUAACGAAGUACCUAUUUUCCGCUAGUUUUAAGUUUACUAGCUUUAAUGAACACUCGGUAUCAGGGGGCGCUUCGUUAUGAAAAGUGUCGCACCGAAAGUAUUGUUGGUUUUGGGAUUUGAAGAUGGAAGGUAAAGGUAAUUGAUUGAAUUUCUAAAGUUGUGUUUCAGCCGCCGUUACCGUAAACAAACGCUGUAAUUAAUUCGCCGUUUGCAACCGUUCCCGUCAGCUUGUUCAAUUAUUUUCGUUGCGCCCGAAAGCUCCUGUCAUUAUUAGAAGGCGAAGACAAAUUAAUAUUUUAGAUUUCAACCCUGUUAAGUUAUUUAAAAUAAAACGAACAUUAAAGCUGCAAGGUCAUUCAGGUUUGACAAAGACCUUUUGCCUACUUGCGAAAUUCCAAUGGGGAUUAAUUAGAAGUAUGAAUUUAGAAAUUUCAUCUCGCACAUUUCAGGGAGUAUAAUUGACUGUAGCUAAUUUGAUUAGUUGCAGUAAACAGCUUCCGGUUAAAUCAUCAAGCACAGAUUCUUAGGACGUCAGGAGACCGCAAAAUUAAUUAAAAAAGUUCUUAUCCGAAUACACUGGGCUGGUUCGGGAAUCCGGCGUUCCAUCCAUGGCAUGACCGAAUUUCAUGAAAAAUAAAGCACUUGUUUGAAGGGGAUCUUUUACCUUUGGUGUUCGCACGGCAAUAAUGACUGAUAGCGAGAAUUUCAAUCGCGGAGUAAGCGAAGCGGGCAAAAUGUUAAAAGUUAAGGGCGCAGCUACAGCUUACGGCGCGAUUCAUUUGCAGAUAUGUCGUGGUUUUCCUAUUUCCCGCAAAGAAAGAAACUGCGUAUACCAAAGAACGCUAACCAUGCUCUAGGGGAAUUUUCCACUACGAAGGAAUUUCUGGAGAACGACGCAACUUAAAAACCGUAAGAUUACCGUGAUAGAAAUUUCAAUGAGUAAAUUAAGGUUUCCAUUUUGUAUGCAUUUUAAUAAGACUUGACUUUUCACUGUUAGAUUAUUUAUUGCUGUCAAAUUAUAGUGUUAGUUAAGGAAUUUGUAACAAUAAUAAUCAGUUGUGUCUGAUGUUGUAAUUUGCGUUUUGUGAAAUGAUGGAAUUACUAAUUUGUAAAGUCUAUUAAAAAGAUGGCUAUAAUAGAAUAAUGUAGCUGCAUGAGCUGGUCUUCUGCAGCCUAUAUUCAAUCACUUUACUUCUUUCAGUUUAGAAAAGACGUGUUCGUGUUUUUUAUACCGAAUAUUAAUCGCAUGAAUUUUGCAUUUUUGUAUUCAGGCAAUAUCCAGACUAUCAAGGCCAGAACCAUAGACCAUAUCUCAAUAAUUAAGUGUGCUAAGACAAACGAUUCACAUAAAAUCACUUUUCAAUUCUGGCGUAAUAAAUCUCUAUUGUUGUAAAUUAGUAUUGCAAAUCAAUAUCAAUCACCAGUUGCUUGAAAUCGUAUAUCACGGUCCAUUUGCAAUCCAAAGUUUUUAACGUAGCGCUUCGGUUGUAGUAGCGUGUCAUUCAUUUUAAUGGUAUUAAUGUGAAGGUAUCUAAGUUUUUGUGGCCCAUCAGCACAAAUGAUGAUUUUUGGGCAACCCACGUGUUUCUACCAUCUCUAUCAGAAACUUGGACAACCUCUGAAGUAGCAAAAUGAUGAAGUAGCUGAAUUUAACGUGAUUAACCCCAUUUUUAAAAACCGAAGUGUCUAUAGAAAACAGGAGCGGGCCCAAAACAAUUCCCUGGGGCGCUCCCGAUUUUAUUGUAAUUGCCGGAAACAUUUACCCAAAACCACAUACCUUCAAGAAAACUUUGUAUUAGGCCGGCAGCAUGAGUACUAACCCCU